CAGUGGUUAUUGUUGCACUGGUUCAGUGCACUGAAGACACAGCACAGCACAGGCCGGACAGCACAGCUAUGGUAGUUCCAUAACAGACAGACAGCCCAAAGAAAUCAGAGCCGCUUUGUGAACAGAGAUGGCAUUUCUUCGCAGGGCCCUGGAUGAUAUGGACCCCCCUGCCUGCCUUUACCCCCGAAUACUGAGAUGAAAGGCAUGUGCUAC
This is a non-coding RNA of Rattus norvegicus (Norway rat), 213 nucleotides long. Lineage: Eukaryota; Metazoa; Chordata; Mammalia; Rodentia; Muridae. The record is from RefSeq and is a predicted model, not a curated record.